Molecule: ribosomal RNA, 467 nt
Filed under: uncultured bacterium
Lineage: Bacteria
Description: partial 16S ribosomal RNA
Rfam family: Bacterial small subunit ribosomal RNA
Source: RNAcentral
GACGAACGCUGGCGGCGUGCUUAACACAUGCAAGUCGAACGGAAAGGCCCUGCUUUUGUGGGGUGCUCGAGUGGCGAACGGGUGAGUAACACGUGAGUAACCUGCCCUUGACUUUGGGAUAACUUCAGGAAACUGGGGCUAAUACCGGAUAGGAGCUCCUGCUGCAUGGUGGGGGUUGGAAAGUUUCGGCGGUUGGGGAUGGACUCGCGGCUUAUCAGCUUGUUGGUGGGGUAGUGGCUUACCAAGGCUUUGACGGGUAGCCGGCCUGAGAGGGUGACCGGCCAAAUGGGGACGGGGAUACGGCCCAGACUCCUACGGGAGGAAGCAGGGGGGAAUAUUGCACAAGGGGCGGAAGCCUGAUGCAGCAACGCCGCGGGCGGGAUGACGGCCUUCGGGUUGUAAACCGCUUUCGCCUGUGACGAAGGGGGAGGGACGGUAAUGGGUAAAGAAGCACCGGCAAACUACGU